Molecule: ribosomal RNA, 89 nt
Filed under: Ailuropoda melanoleuca (giant panda)
Lineage: Eukaryota; Metazoa; Chordata; Mammalia; Carnivora; Ursidae
Description: similar to 28S ribosomal RNA
Source: RNAcentral
GGAGGAGCCGGCUGGAGCCCCAGGGAGAGUUCGCUUUUCUUUGUCAAGGGUAGGGCCCCUUGGAAUGGGUUCCUCACCAGAGAGGGGCC